CAGUAGCCACGGGAAUACAGAGGGUGCGAGCGUUAAUCGGAUUUACUGGGCGUAAAGCGUGCGUAGGCGGCUAAUUGAGUCGGAUGUGAAAUCCCCGAGCUUAACUUGGGAAUUGCAUUCGAUACUGGUUAGCUAGAGUGUGGGAGAGGAUGGUAGAAUUCCAGGUGUAGCGGUGAAAUGCGUAGAGAUCUGGAGGAAUACAGAUGGCGAAGGCAGCCAUCUGGCCUAACACUGACGCUGAGGUACGAAAGCAUGGGGAGCAAACAGGAUUAGAGACCCGCGUAGUCCCUGUCUCUUAUAA
RNAcentral lists this ribosomal RNA (301 nucleotides) under uncultured bacterium. RNAcentral describes it as "partial 16S ribosomal RNA". It matches the Rfam family "Bacterial small subunit ribosomal RNA", at positions 509 to 809 of the family's 1533-position model. The record is from RNAcentral.